AUUCCAGACUGGUCUGAUAUGCCCCAUAAGGAAGAAAAGCUUGAAGAAGCCAUUGAAGAGCUGAAGAAUAUUUUUCAUUAUUCUGAUGAGAUCAACUUUUGGGUGGAGGAGAAAAUCCAUGAAAAAGGAAGGCAAACAAACGUAACAUGAGGUUGCAACAUUUUGAUGAGAAGAAGACUGAUGCACAAAACCGAGCUAGUUGUCCAAACGAAGUUAUUGACACUCAGUGGGCAAAUAUGUUGAUAUAUUGGCGUUCACCUGAAUUCAAG
This is a long non-coding RNA of Papaver somniferum (opium poppy), 269 nucleotides long. RefSeq lists it as uncharacterized. The record is from RefSeq and is a predicted model, not a curated record. The transcript is spliced from 2 exons. Lineage: Eukaryota; Viridiplantae; Streptophyta; Magnoliopsida; Ranunculales; Papaveraceae.